This 816-nucleotide long non-coding RNA is filed under the name Pan troglodytes (chimpanzee). RNAcentral describes it as "lincRNA". The record is from RNAcentral. Lineage: Eukaryota; Metazoa; Chordata; Mammalia; Primates; Hominidae.
GCUUGGAGAAGAGGAGGAGGCUGAAAAGAAGGCAAAGAGUGAAGAUAGAGAAACAAGAUGGAAGUGGGGGAGAAAAACAGGGAUGAGAGAAUGCCAUGGUGGUGCUGAGAAGGAAAGGAGAGACUUUUCUGCUUGUAAAGGGCAGAAGAUGGCAGAAUCCAGUGACGCAGGGGCAUCUGGCUCCAGAAAUAAUAGGUCACUUGGCACCCACUUCUUCAAAACGACUCAUAGAGGUACCACCUUGGUUGUCUUGGAUAAAAUCUGGAAUAAUUAUCUGGGUUACCAGGAGAGACUCUUGUUCUUUUCGCUUACUUUCUCCAAAACAUAUGAAGCCUCUCUCUCUGUGUUGAACCACCUGGAACUGGAGGUGUGAUGGGUUAUAGAGAUGAAAAUGCAUAUGGAAUUAUCAUGCAAAUUACCAAUAAAGAGAAUCACUGGUCAGAAUCCCUAUAUUUUGGAGAAGAAAAAUUUUGAAAACCAAACAGUCAGAUAGAAUUCAAUCAACUGCAGUUGGGAGAAAGACAGCGAGUAGCUUGAGAGAGAUGAGAAACUAUCAAAAAGAAGUUCCUGACAUGGCAACAGUGUAUCAUCCAAUGAAUCAAUCGCCUCACCCAACACUGUAACACUUGCUGGCCUAUUGACUCAGAGCAUGAGGAAACCAAAGUGACCAGGGAUUAAAAGCUAUCUCUGGAGAAGAUGAUGUCAGCAAGAUGGCAGAAUAGAAAAAUCCAGGUCCUGGUUCCACCACAGAAACAUGAAGUAAACAACAAAGGAAUGGCUUAAUAGCCUUGUGAGAGCUCUAAAAACCAGUCAAGA